This 373-nucleotide ribosomal RNA is filed under the name uncultured bacterium. Its description in RNAcentral is "bacterial SSU rRNA". It matches the Rfam family "Bacterial small subunit ribosomal RNA", at positions 525 to 896 of the family's 1533-position model. The record is from RNAcentral.
ACGUAGGGUGCAAGCGUUGCUCGGAAUCAUUGGGCGUAAAGAGCGUGUAGGUGGCUAGAUAAGUCAGAUGUGAAAUCCCUCGGCUCAACCGAGGAAGUGCAUUUGAAACUAUUUAGCUCGAGGAUGGCAGAGGAAGGUGGAAUUCCUAGUGUAGAGGUGAAAUUCGUAGAUAUUAGGAGGAAUACCGGUGGCGAAGGCGGCCUUCUGGACCAUUCCUGACACUGAGACGCGAAAGCGUGGGUAGCAAACAGGAUUAGAUACCCUGGUAGUCCACGCUGUAAACGAUGGGUACUAGAUGUUGCGGGAAUUGACCCCCGCAGUGUCGUAGCUAACGCGUUAAGUACCCCGCCUGGGAAGUACGGCCGCAAGGUUA